CUCAAAACAGAACACUAGAGCUGGAAAUGACCUGAGAACACAGAAUGUUUCAGCUUGAAGGGACAGAAGAGAUCAUUUCAUCCAACUCUCUCUCUCCUCUCAAAUUUUACAAAUGAUAAAGAUAUAUGAAAUGGCCAAGGGCAUCCAAACCACCAGAGCUGAGACCAGAAACCACAUUUCCUAAGUUCCAGUCCUGGACAUUUGUUCCCUAUGUUACCAGUUUCCACAAAAACAAAUUGUCGCCUAAACAAGACAGCUGCCUGGUGGCUCCCCGAGGGGGGCCUGGGCUGGAGAGAAUACGAGAGCUGGGGAGUAAAUCUGCUCCUGCUUCUGCAGUAACAGUGAUUCAGGCCUCGGAAAAGCUGGGUUUAUUAAAAAUCAUCCGUCUGCGUUCCCAAUAUGACUUACUGUAUGCAUCUCUCCAGGAGAAUGGAUGAGCCUUUUAGAAGUUAAUGUAAGCAA
This 462-nucleotide long non-coding RNA is filed under the name Monodelphis domestica (gray short-tailed opossum). RNAcentral describes it as "lncRNA (ENSMODG00000048873.1)". The record is from RNAcentral. Lineage: Eukaryota; Metazoa; Chordata; Mammalia; Didelphimorphia; Didelphidae.